CCCCGUUGUCCACAUGGCUGGGCCCUGCAUGGGAGGAAAGAGGGGGCAUGAAGACAAACAGCGAGGAAAUUGGGGUUUCGGAGGGCAGGCCUGCCCAGAAUGCAUUCCUAUAAAUUCUGAAGGAAGAGGGUGGGAGAGACCCACCAUUCUGCUUUACAUAUGCAAGGAAUACGUGAGGAGCCUGAAUUCCUAGGAAAGGUGAGACAUCGGGGCAGAUACCGGCCCAUUCGCCAUGCUCCUUUCUCGCUGUGGGUGAAGAGAAGACGGUGAUGGACACUCUGGCUUCCGCUGCAGGAGCUCCACAGCCAGGGAACCCCUCUGCUCCCUUCGCCGUGUGAAAUCGCAUCUAGCUCCUCCACCGCAGAGGCACCGGGGCAGCACUGGAAACACAGCCCGAGGUUCUAGGAGCAGUCAGUGCAGAUAGGAGCAGCACAGCAAUGACACCACACCCACAAAACCGGGCAAACAUAAUGAAUAAGAGAACUAAAAGUGAACGCGGCAGCAGCUUUACAUCUCAGUGCCAAUUUGAGAUUGGUAUUGCCAUCGAGAGUCAGCAGCCUCGCCCGGACGCUCCGCCGUGCCCACUGUGCUAUGAAACCGCCUGAGUCAUCGCUUUCCUCCCUGCCAUUUUACGUAAUAGUUAUUUCAAAUAUCCUCCAGCAUCCUCACACCACCACAGGGUUCCCUGCCUCGGGAAACAGAAAAAACACAGAAGCCACAUGCAAAUUUCUUUUACAUUUUAUAUUAAAGCCUAAAAAGUUA
Long non-coding RNA from Homo sapiens (human), 762 nucleotides. Lineage: Eukaryota; Metazoa; Chordata; Mammalia; Primates; Hominidae. The record is from Ensembl.